Momordica charantia (bitter melon) is the source of this 4920-nucleotide RNA transcript. It is a transcript of the gene named Cleavage and polyadenylation specificity factor (CPSF) A subunit protein, with no coding region annotated. The record is from RefSeq and is a predicted model, not a curated record. NCBI's taxonomy places the organism in Eukaryota, Viridiplantae, Streptophyta, Magnoliopsida, Cucurbitales, Cucurbitaceae.
UCAUAUGCUCUCUCUCUCUCUCUCUUCUCUGCAAAAUCUCUCUCUCUCGCCCUCUUCAAGCACACUCUUGGGUUGCUGAUCUUUAUCCAGUUCUUGAUGAUUUGUUCUCCCUGUUCGUGAAUCGAGAAGAACCCUAGCCUCCGAGUCUCAAUGUGUUACUAGCUGAUGGCGGUUUCGGAGGAGGAAUGUUCGUCCACGAAGUCGCGAUCUUCGUCUUCAACUUCUACUUCAACCUAUUACUUGGCUAAGUGCGUUCUCAGAGGCAGCAUCGUCCUCCAGGUCCUCUACGGCCACAUACGCUCUCCGACCUCCCUCGAUGUCGUCUUUGGCAAGGAGACAUCGAUAGAGUUGGUUGCAAUAGGCGAAGAUGGGGUUGUACAAUCUGUAUGUGAGCAGGCUGUAUUUGGCACCAUUAAAGAUAUGGCCAUCCUACCAUGGAAUGAGAGGUUCCGCCCAUCAUACACACAGAUGCUGGGUAAGGAUCUUCUCAUUGUAAUCUCUGAUUCUGGAAAGCUUUCAUUUUUGACAUUUUGCAAUGAAAUGCACAGGUUUCUCCCUAUAACACAUAUUCAGCUUUCCAAUCCUGGAAAUUCAAGGAGUCAAAUUGGGAGAAUGCUGGCUUCAGAUUCCAGUGGCUGCUUUUUUGCUGCUAGUGCAUAUGAAAACCGAUUGGCUUUAUUCUCCACUUCAAUCUCUGCUGGUAGUGAUAUUGUUGAUAAGAGAAUAACUUAUCCUUCUGAGAGUGAAGGAGAUUCGAUUGGACCUCGAAGCAUGCAGAAAACCAGUAUAUGUGGGACCAUAUGGAGUAUGUGCUUCAUUUCAAAAGAUCAUGGCCACCUUACACAGGACAACAAUCCUGUACUAGCCGUUCUUCUUAAUAGGAGAGGAGCGAUUUUGAAUGAGCUGCUAUUACUUGGAUGGAAUAUGAGAGAACAAAUUAUAUAUGUUAUCUCUCAGUAUUUAGAAGAUGGACCUCUGGCAUACGAAGUUGUUGAAGUUCCUAAAUCUUAUGGAUUUGCACUCCUAUUUAGGGUUGGUGAUGCUCUCUUGAUGGAUCUUAGAGACGCCAAGAGCCCCUGUUGUGUCCAUAGAAUAGGCUUACACUUCCCAACCAACGUGGAACAAAAUUUUAUUGAAGAGUCAUAUAAAGUACAAGAUGCAGAUGAUGAAGGACUAUUUAAUUUUGCUGCAUGUGCACUGCUGGAACUAAGGGAUUAUGAUCCCAUGUGCAUAGACAGCGAUGAUGGAAGUCCGAAUACUAACCAGAAUCAUGUGUGCUCUUGGAGUUGGGAACCAGGCAAUGACAGAAACCAAAGGAUGAUUUUCUGCAUGGAUACUGGAGAACUUUUCAUGAUAGAAAUGAAUUUUGACUCCGAUGGUCUGAAAGUGAAUCAGUCUGCUUGUCUUUAUAGAGGUCUACCAUACAAGGAGCUUUUGUGGGUUGAAGGAGGAUAUUUGGCAGCACUGGUGGAAAUGGGGGAUGGAAUGGUCCUGAAAUUAGAGAAUGGAAGGCUGAUAUAUGCAAAUCCCAUCCAGAAUAUUGCUCCUAUUCUGGAUAUGUCAGUUGUUGAUAAGCAUGAUGAGAAACAUGACCAAAUGUUCGCCUGCUGUGGAAUGGCACCUGAUGGGUCUUUAAGGAUUAUUCGAAAUGGUAUUAGUGUAGAAAAUCUGUUGAGGACUGCUUCGAUUUAUCAAGGCAUAACGGGUAUCUGGACUAGUAAAAUGAAACUAAGCGAUGCUUAUCAUUCAUAUAUGGUAUUAUCAUUUGUUGAAGAGACCAGGGUUCUAUCAGUUGGCUUGAGUUUUAUUGAUGUCACCGAUUCAGUUGGUUUCCAGUCUGACAUUUGUACUUUGGCAUGUGGUCUUAUAGAUGAUGGCAUACUGGUUCAAAUACAUCAAAAUGCAGUAAGGCUAUGUUUACCCACCAAGGUCGCUCAUUCUGAAGGCAUUGAAUUAUCUUCUCCAGCUUGCACAUCUUGGUUUCCAGAUAAUAUUGGUAUCAGCUUGGGUGCAGUUGGACAUAAUAUGAUUGUUGUUUCCACGUCUAACCCGUGCAUCUUAUUUAUUCUUGGAGUUCGAAAGCUUUCAGAAUAUAACUAUGAAAUAUAUGAAAAGCAAUAUUUGAGAUUGCAGAAUGAAUUGUCAUGCAUUUCAAUUCCCGAAAAACAUUUUUCCCAAAAAGAAUCCAGUUUUUCUAUGAAUUCGGUAGAAAAUAACAUUAUUUCCACUCUACUAAACGGGGUUAGCAGUGAUAAUAUUAUUGUUAUUGGCACCCAUAGGCCUUCGGUGGAAAUUUUGUAUUUCGUUCCCUCUGUAGGUCUAAUUGUCCUUGCUUCGGGAACUAUUUCAUUGAUGAACAUUUUAGGCAAUGCUGUUAGUGGAUGCAUUCCUCAAGAUGUGAGACUUGUUUUAGUUGACAGGUUUUAUAUUCUUACGGGACUGAGGAAUGGAAUGUUGCUUCGCUUUGAGUGGCAUCAUACUACUAUGAUGAACUCAUCUCACAUGCCUAGCCACAGUCCUGUUGUUCCCUUUUUGUCAACUUGUCUUGAUUCUUUUGGCAAAGAAUUGUAUAAUACUACGAUAUUGGAGAAGCACGAGGAUAAAAUUCCUUCUAGUCUUCAAUUGAUUGCUAUUCGGCGCAUUGGGAUCACUCCUGUUUUUCUGGUUCCUUUGACUGAUAGACUGGAUUCUGAUAUAAUUGCUCUAAGUGAUAGGCCGUGGUUGUUACAUAGUGCAAGGCACAGUCUUUCAUACACUUCCAUUUCAUUUCAACCGUCAACACAUGUGACUCCUGUGCGUUCUGCUGAAUGCCCGAAUGGACUACUAUUUGUUGCGGAAAGCAGUCUACAUUUGGUAGAGAUGGUACAUACCAAGAGACUUAAUGUGCAGAAGUUUCAGCUUGGGGGCACCCCAAGGAAGGUUCUAUAUCACAGUGAGAGCAAAUUACUACUUGUGAUGAGGACUCAAUUGAUUAAUGAUACAUGUUCAUCUGACAUAUGUUGUGUAGAUCCCCUUAGUGGGUCAAUUUUAUCAUCGUUCAAGCUUGAAAUUGGAGAGACGGGAAAAUCCAUGGAGUUAGUGAAGAAUGGAAACGAACAAAUUCUUGUGGUUGGAACAAGCUUGUCUUCUGGUCCUGCCAUAAUGCCCAGUGGCGAAGCUGAAAGUACCAAGGGUCGGCUGAUCGUCCUUUGCCUCGAACAUGUGCAAAACUCAGAUACUGGCUCAAUGAAUUUUUGUUCAAAGGCAGGAUUAUCUUCUCUGCAAACCUCACCAUUUCGAGAAAUUGUUGGAUAUGCUACAGAACAGUUAUCAAGCAGUAGUCUUUGUAGCAGUCCAGAUGAUGCAAGCUCCGAUGGGAUAAAGCUCGAGGAAACAGAAGCUUGGCAAUUACGAGUAGUUUAUUCAACUACCUGGCCCGGAAUGGUUCUUGCUAUCUGUCCUUAUCUUGAUCGUUAUUUCCUGGCAUCUGCUGGUAAUGCUUUUUAUGUAUGUGGUUUCCCAAGUGAUAAUUCCCAAAGGGUGAAAAGGUUAGCAGUUGGGAGGACACGUUUUAUGAUAACAUCUUUGACUGCUCAUGUUACUAGAAUUGCUGUUGGGGAUUGUCGUGAUGGUAUUCUUUUUUACUCAUAUCAAGAGGAUGCUAAAAAGCUGGAGCAAAUUUACUCUGAUCCAUCACAGAGGCUAGUUGCUGAUUGUAUUCUUUUGGACGUUGACACUGCUGUUGUUUCAGAUCGCAAGGGAAGCAUUGCUAUCCUAUCAUGUUCUGAUCGUUUAGAAGAUAAUGCAAGUCCAGAAUGCAACUUAAUGCUGAACUGUGCUUAUUACAUGGGUGAAAUUUCCAUGAGCUUGAGGAAAGGAUCUUUUUCUUACAAACUUCCAGCUGAUGAUUUGUUGAGAGGUUGUGCUGGCACUGGCUCUGAUUUUGACUCAUCACACAACACUAUUAUUGCCAGUACAUUAUUAGGGAGCAUUGUGAUCUUCACUCCUCUAUCGAGGGAUGAAUAUGAACUUCUAGAAGCUGUCCAGGCUAAACUUGCCGUUCAUCCACUAACUCGUCCAAUUUUGGGGAAUGAUCAUUAUGAGUAUCGUAGCCGUGAAAACCCAACCGGUGUUCCAAAAAUACUUGAUGGGGACAUUCUGACUCAGUUCUUGGAGCUUACAAGCAUGCAACAAGAGUCAGUAUUAUCAUCACCUGUUGGCUCUCGAAAUGCAGCAAAAUCAAGCGGGAAGUCGUUGCCUGCAUCCAUCCCCAUCAAUCAGGUUGUGCAACUUCUUGAGAGAAUUCAUUAUGCCCUCAAUUAGUCUACAAUCUCUCAACUUUUGGUGCCACGAAGCUGUGGAAUCGGAAUACCUACACGGAAGCUUAUAUUGGGGUAAAUACCUUCGGUGCCUUCACAUGCUACUAUUGAAGGGAUGGCAACACAUACAGCUGCGAUCUUAUUUUGCAGAUUGGUCAGUGUAACUGUUGAUAUCUUAAAGCACCAGAAACUCCUCAAAGUUGCCUUUUUUACUCGAGCAGAGCAGUACCUGUACAGGAUAUUUGAUGUUCUAGAUCCACAAUUUCUGAGUUGGUUGUGGCAGUAGUUUUUCUUCGCUGAAGAGAAAGCAAUACCGAUGAUCUCGAAGAUUCUGAAGAUGUGAUUGUGUACUGGCUCAUUAGAGUAAGGAUCUGGUUGCUAUCUUCUCGGUUUCGCUCCUGAAAAUGAGGUGUGUUAUUUAAGAUUUUGGAAUUCCCCAUUUCCCUUUUCUUACUUGAUAUUGUAGAAGCUUGAAAAAUUUUAAGAGUUGAAUUUUGUACAGUUCCUAACUGUCAUGUUUGGGGUUAAGUUGGAUAAUAGUGUCAUGUUUGGGGUUUUGGCCAGAUAAGAGUCAGACUGUCAUGCUUAGUUGGAUAAUAGGAAUGCGUGUAAUUUAUGUUCA